AAGGCGCGCGAUACAGGGUGACAGCCCCGUACACAAAAAUGCACAUAUUGUGAGCUCGAUGAGUAGGGCGGGACACGUGGUAUCCUGUCUGAAUAUGGGGGGACCAUCCUCCAAGGCUAAAUACUCCUGACUGACCGAUAGUGAACCAGUACCGUGAGGGAAAGGCGAAAAGAACCCCGGCGAGGGGAGUGAAAAAGAACCUGAAACCGUGUACGUACAAGCAGUGGGAGCCUCUUUUAUGGGGUGACUGCGUACCUUUUGUAUAAUGGGUCAGCGACUUAUAUUCUGUAGCAAGGUUAACCGAAUAGGGGAGCCGAAGGGAAACCGAGUCUUAACUGGGCGUUAAGUUGCAGGGUAUAGACCCGAAACCCGGUGAUCUAGCCAUGGGCAGGUUGAAGGUUGGGUAACACUAACUGGAGGACCGAACCGACUAAUGUUGAAAAAUUAGCGGAUGACUUGUGGCUGGGGGUGAAAGGCCAAUCAAACCGGGAGAUAGCUGGUUCUCCCCGAAAGCUAUUUAGGUAGCGCCUCGUGAACUCAUCUCCGGGGGUAGAGCACUGUUUCGGCAAGGGGGUCAUCCCGACUUACCAACCCGAUGCAAACUGCGAAUACCGGAGAAUGUUAUCACGGGAGACACACGGCGGGUGCUAACGUCCGUCGUGAAGAGGGAAACAACCCAGACCGCCAGCUAAGGUCCCAAAGUCAUGGUUAAGUGGGAAACGAUGUGGGAAGGCCCAGACAGCCAGGAUGUUGGCUUAGAAGCAGCCAUCAUUUAAAGAAAGCGUAAUAGCUCACUGGUCGAGUCGGCCUGCGCGGAAGAUGUAACGGGGCUAAACCAUG
This 840-nucleotide ribosomal RNA is filed under the name Escherichia coli. RNAcentral's name for it is "partial 23S ribosomal RNA". It matches the Rfam family "Bacterial large subunit ribosomal RNA", at positions 347 to 1191 of the family's 2925-position model. Lineage: Bacteria; Pseudomonadati; Pseudomonadota; Gammaproteobacteria; Enterobacterales; Enterobacteriaceae. The record is from RNAcentral.